CCAAUAGCGUAUAUUAAAGUUGUUGCAGUUAAAAAGCUCGUAGUUGAAUUUCGGGAUCAAUUAAUUGGUCGUGCCUCUGGUACGUACUGAUUUUAUUGGUUUCUCCCUUCUGACGAACCAUGAUGUCAUUAAUUUGAUGUCGUGGAGAAUCAGGACUGUUACUUUGAAAAAAUUAGAGUGUUUAAAGCAAGCUAACGCUUGAAUACAUUAGCAUGGAAUAAUGAAAUAGGACGUUUGAUCCUAUUUUGUUGGUUUCUAGGAUCGACGUAAUGAUUAAUAG
Molecule: ribosomal RNA, 280 nt
Filed under: uncultured Glomus
Lineage: Eukaryota; Fungi; Glomeromycota; Glomeromycetes; Glomerales; Glomeraceae
Description: partial 18S small subunit ribosomal RNA
Rfam family: Eukaryotic small subunit ribosomal RNA
Source: RNAcentral